GUAAUAGCUCACUGGUCGAGUCGGCCUGCGCGGAAGAUGUAACGGGGCUAAACCAUGCACCGAAGCUGCGGCAGCGACGCUUAUGCGUUGUUGGGUAGGGGAGCGUUCUGUAAGCCUGCGAAGGUGUACUGUGAGGUAUGCUGGAGGUAUCAGAAGUGCGAAUGCUGACAUAAGUAACGAUAAAGCGGGUGAAAAGCCCGCUCGCCGGAAGACCAAGGGUUCCUGUCCAACGUUAAUCGGGGCAGGGUGAGUCGACCCCUAAGG
This 264-nucleotide ribosomal RNA is filed under the name Escherichia coli. RNAcentral describes it as "partial 23S ribosomal RNA". It matches the Rfam family "Bacterial large subunit ribosomal RNA", at positions 1134 to 1396 of the family's 2925-position model. Lineage: Bacteria; Pseudomonadati; Pseudomonadota; Gammaproteobacteria; Enterobacterales; Enterobacteriaceae. The record is from RNAcentral.